Small nuclear RNA from Mesocricetus auratus (golden hamster), 159 nucleotides. Its record names the gene U1. It matches the Rfam family "U1 spliceosomal RNA". Rfam says of the family: U1 is a small nuclear RNA (snRNA) component of the spliceosome (involved in pre-mRNA splicing). Its 5' end forms complementary base pairs with the 5' splice junction, thus defining the 5' donor site of an intron. The record is from Ensembl. Lineage: Eukaryota; Metazoa; Chordata; Mammalia; Rodentia; Cricetidae.
GCCCUAACCUGGCAGGGAGACCCCAUGGCUAUGAAGGUGAUCUUCCAGGGCAAGCCUUAUCCAUUGUGCACAAGAUGUGUUGACCCCUCUGACACUCCCAAAUGGGGGAAACUGGGCUGCAUGCUUUGUGGUAGUGGGGGUGGCAUUUGGCCUCUUCAA